GAUGAACGCUGGCGGCGUGCCUAAUACAUGCAAGUCGAGCGAACAGACGAGGCGCUUGCUCCUCUGACGUUAGCGGCGGACGGGUGAGUAACACGUGUAUAACCUACCUAUAAGACUGGGAUAACUUCGGGAAACCGGCGCUAAUACCGGAUAAUAUAUUGAACCGCAUGGUUCAAUAGUGAAAGACGGUUUUGCUGUCACUUAUAGCUGGUUACGCGCCGCUUUAGCUAGUUGUUAAGGUAACGGCUUUUCAAGGCAACCAUGCGUAGGCGACCUGAUAGGGUGAUCGGCCACACUGGAGCUGAGACACGGUCCAGACUCCUACGGGAGGCAGCAGUAGGGAAUCUGCCGCAAUGGGCGAAAGCGUGACGGAGUAACGGCGCGUGAGUGAUGAAGGUCUCCGGAGCGUAAAACUCUGUUAUUAGGGAAGAACAAAUGUGUAAGUAACUAUGCACGUCUUGACGGUACCUAAUCAGAAAGCCACGGCUAACUACGUG
RNAcentral lists this ribosomal RNA (497 nucleotides) under uncultured bacterium. RNAcentral's name for it is "partial 16S ribosomal RNA". It matches the Rfam family "Bacterial small subunit ribosomal RNA", at positions 28 to 507 of the family's 1533-position model. The record is from RNAcentral.